This 246-nucleotide ribosomal RNA is filed under the name uncultured bacterium. RNAcentral describes it as "partial 16S ribosomal RNA". It matches the Rfam family "Bacterial small subunit ribosomal RNA", at positions 9 to 240 of the family's 1533-position model. The record is from RNAcentral.
GAGUUUGAUCCUGGCUCAUGAUGAACGCUAGCGACAGGCCUAACACAUGCAAGUCGAGGGGGCAGCGGGGAGGUAGCAAUACCUUUGCCGGCGACCGGCGCACGGGUGAGUAACACGUAUGCAAUCCACCUGUAACAGGGGGGAUAACCCGGAGAAAUCCGGGACUAAUACCCCAUAAUAUGGGGCGCUCCGCAUGGAGAGUUCAUUAAAGAGAGCAAUUUUGGUUACAGACGAGCAUGCGCUCCA